Marmota monax (woodchuck) is the source of this 1769-nucleotide long non-coding RNA. RefSeq lists it as uncharacterized. NCBI's taxonomy places the organism in Eukaryota, Metazoa, Chordata, Mammalia, Rodentia, Sciuridae. The record is from RefSeq and is a predicted model, not a curated record. The transcript is spliced from 5 exons.
UGCAUAACAGAUAAAGGGACUCAAAGCAAGAAGAUAGUGGUAUGGGACAAAGCUCCUAAGAGGUUCUAGAUCUUGAGCCCUGAGAGUGUGUGUGUGUGUGUGUGUGUGUGUGUGUGUGUAGGAGGAGGAGAGGGGAGGGUGGAGUGGAGGUGACUCAUUCUGGUUGACAUCACCACAAAAUAGUCUUCGUGCUAGACACUUUACAUGCAUUAUCUUUCAAAUUUAAGGAUGGGGGAGGGGUUUGGGAGGGUUGUAAGGGAAAGUGCCCAAUCCUGGCCUGCCCAGAGCCAGUGAAAGUGUAGGAGCAACCUUGAAUGUGGGCUCCCUGCCCUCAGUCCCUGGGCACUGCCUGUUCCCUGGCCUGCCACUCCUACAUACUACACCCAAGAGCACCCGACACUGCCCAGUUCUGGAUGGAUGCACUCUGGUCCUGCCCUGGUGAACAAAUGGCUGUGUGACCUUGGCUGGGGCAUCCUGCUGUCCGUCAACCCUGCUCUCAUCUGCCCACCUCCCCUGAGUUACCCACCAAGGAUCACGAAGAAUCUCUCUGAGGUGGGUCCUCUUCUCCUUGCCACCCUGGUUUCCCUGGCACUUCAGCAAUAUUCCUGGGUCCAGCUGGACGUGUCUAUCAGGCCGAAACCUGGAGACUAGCAAGACCCUGGAACACACUCUCAGCAGUGGAGUUGGAUGGUCAGGAUUGUUCUUCAUGGGCUCAGCUUGAUUCUUGGCCAGCUGGCCUGCCUGCUGCCCCUCACCUUCUACCCAGAGGGAAAUUCCUCACCCGCUGGACCACACCCGCUCUUGAGGACCUCGCGAGCUCUCUGGGCAGAGCGGAAGCCAGACAGAGACCGGACUCCAAGGCGACAAUCCCAGCUCUGUGUGUGCCAGGAGCCCCCAGGGGCAGGGGCCCACGCUGCAGGAGGUUAGCUGCCCCCCAACACUCAGGAGCCAGGAGUGGGCUGCAGGGACAGAGCGCUUCUCAAACGAGGAGGAGCCCCCGUGGAGUACGUGACUCCUGCCCCUCUGGCUGCACGCUCCAGUUACCAGGACAGAGACCCCUCCCCACGCGUCCCCAGCUUUCCCCUGCUUCCUGCUCUGGCUGCUGGGAGGCCCUGUCACCACACAUGCGCGAGCACGCACUCCGACACACGCGCCCCUCCCAGGCACCCCUGAGAGGACCAGCUGCAGCUGGGGGGUGCACUGAGUGCUGCCAGGUCCUCAGAUCCACAGCCUCCCCCCAUCCUCGCCCCCUACUGCUCAGCUGCUUGGAGGUUUAAAGCAAAACAUGACUGUCUUUCCUGCUGCUCAGUGGCAGCGGCGCUGCCUGAGGGUUAUUUUUAGCAGGGAUGCGAGGAAGGCACAUUUCUCCUUGACUUUCACCAGGGACAACCCUCACCCCCCAGCCAAGACUCGCCUGGGGAGGCAGGUUCGGAAACCCCACUCCCAGGAAGGGGAAACUGGUGGGUUUUCUGUUCUUUCAAUUCAUCAGGCCUUGAAGUCAAGCUAGGGGCUGCUCUGAUGGGAAAUUCUAGGUUCCAAAGCCCAUGGUUUCCCCCGCCAUCCCUGGUCUCUGUGUCGCUACAAAUUUGAGGAGCAAGAGGUACGUUGUGUCUAGAGGCAGGUCGCCCAGGCUGCGGGUGUUGGGGUCCUGGGGCAGCCGCGUGGUUACAGCCAGGCACUAUAGAUUGCAUGCAGUGCCCGGCUUUGUGGGGGAGCGGUUCUCACAGAUGCUGGCUUGUUAAUUCAUUAAACUGCCUGUCUGGCCUAUA